GACGAACGCUGGCGGCGUGCUUAAUACAUGCAAGUCGAACGGACAGACAGAGAGCUUGCUCUCUUGAAGUUAGUGGCGAACGGGUGAGUAACGCGUAAUCAACCUGCCCUUCAUAGGGGGAUAACAACGGGAAACCGUUGCUAAUACCGCGUACGAUUCAUGAACGGCAUCGUUUAUGAAUGAAAGGUGGCCUCUAUGUAUAAGCUAUCGCUGAAGGAGGGGAUUGCGUCUGAUUAGCUAGUUGGAGGGGUAACGGCCCACCAAGGCAAUGAUCAGUAGCCGGUCUGAGAGGAUGAACGGCCACAUUGGGACUGAGACACGGCCCUAACUCCUACGGGAAGCAGCAGUGGGGAAUCUUCCGCAAUGGACGAAAGUCUGACGGAGCAACGCCGCGUGAGUGAUGAAGGUCUUCGGAUUGUAAAGCUCUGUUAAUCGGGACGAAAGAGUUCUGCGUGAAUAAUGCAGAAAAGUGACGGUACCGGAAUAGAAAGCCACGGCUAACUACGUGCCAGCCGCCGCCGUAA
RNAcentral lists this ribosomal RNA (524 nucleotides) under uncultured bacterium. RNAcentral's name for it is "partial 16S ribosomal RNA". It matches the Rfam family "Bacterial small subunit ribosomal RNA", at positions 28 to 523 of the family's 1533-position model. The record is from RNAcentral.